AUGUGGAUGAGGAAGAAGAAGGCGGCGACGACGACGAGGCCGGCGGCCAGAAGGAGGGCGCCGACGUCGCUAGGGGCGCUGUGGCGGCGCGUGGUCGGGCCGGCCCGCGGCGGCAAGGCCAAAAAGACCAAGACCAAGAAGAGCAAGAUCGGGUCGCUCUCGCGCGCGUUCCGGGUCUUCUCCUGCGUCCGCGGCCAUGGCAAAGGGAGGAUGGCUGCGCGCCGUUUGUGCGGGGGAAGUUCUGCGCGCAUGGCGGCGGCGGUGUUGGUCGACGACACUGUUCAUAGCGCCACUCCGGCUCCAGUGGCCAUCCCUCCCCCCUCCGAUGCCAUCGUCCACCCCUCCUCUCUCUCUCUCUCCCUCUCUUUCUCGGACGCCCAGAUGGCUUCAUGUGUUUCCCUCUCCGUGUAUUCGGCCUCCUCGAGCUCCCCUCCACCUCCGCGCCCCCCUCUCCACUCCAUCGUCGUCGUCCCCGGCGUGCGGGACCCCGUGUCCCUGCCAUCGCCUGCCCAGACGGGAAACCGCGGCCCCACCAUUCCCAGCUCCAAGCUGCCGCAGAUGAACAUCCCGGCCUGUCUUCAUGGCUGCUACUACAACUGCGGCGACGGGGGGCAUAUUACAGACGACUGCUGGAAGGAGACAGUCUGUGUUCACUGUGGGGGCGAGGGGCACAUCGCCCGGGAAUGCAUGAUGCCUUGUAGCCCAUCGCCGGUGGGUAGGCCUGCGCUUCCAUCACCGGUGGUUCGCCCGUCUUUGGGCCCAACCCAGGCAUCGGCCCUUUUCCCCAGGAACGUCGUGUCGCCACUCCAGCAACCCCUGCCUCCCAGCUUCGCUCGGCCAAUGUCCUGCUCCCUCUCCCCUCCCCUCCCCCCAUCUGGUCCACCACCACCAGGCACGAGCUCAUUGGCAUGUUGGCCCAUGCGUGGACAGCCGUACGAUAGAGGUGGUUCUGAGAGGCUGCAGCUUCAUGGCUCGUGUGGCAGAGCGCACUGUGCAGCGUUUCGACAUGGCCAGCUUCCAGGCUUGCGCCACCGGCGGAGCUCCGCGGUAGAUGUGCCCCCACCACUGCCACUAUUGCCUCUGACAGAUGAUGACUUGCAUGACCAUGGUGAUGCCAGCAGUGUUGGGCCUAUGAGGUGUGGAUGUAUGCAGAUGGCCGUCACCAGGGAUAAUGGAGGCUCGCCAGUUUCCUCGAUGGUGUCGGCACCACCUACAAGGCAGACGACUGUUCAAUUGGCGAAUGCUGGACAUCGGUGGGGGCCAAUCGUGGAGCGCCCGCUGUUGCUUUUGACCAGUCCUGUCAGGGAUUCUGAGGUGCACAAUGCGGUGGGCGUGCAAGGGCCGUUGCAACCCGCGUCGUCUUGCGGUUUGCGAAGUAGAGAGGAGCCGUUGGCGCGCAUGGAAGAUCCGGCAAAUAUUCUGGUGUCCCCACCGCCAGCCACUCUAGGGCGAUGGAAGGAUCGAGAGUCCGGUCAAGACAUGCCCAUGGUAGCUGCCGCUUUUUGGUGCCAUCGCAGGCUGCAGCCGGCGCGGUCUAGGAGGGGAUGGAUGAGGCCAAUGGGAGGCCAGUGCAGACACUUCUGGUGGGGUCCUUGCCGCUACUGUUGGAUGGGACGAUCGAGCCAUGUCGAACUGGGACGACAACUUUGCAGCGGAGAAGUGGAGCCCGCGUCCUCGUCCCCAGUACAUGUGGGGAACGCCUUCCUCGUGACCCUAUCAGAUGGAGUGGAGGCGGCCUCUUGUCCAGCCUCGGUUGGCACUUUCUAUCACCUCAUGCACGUUGGGCAGCAGUGCAGCCUACUAGACGAGCUGUGCGGCGAGCUGAGGGCCAGAGCCCUGACUCGCCCGCGCGCACCAUCCAAAGCCGUGCUCAACCAUUGGCAACAACAUGGGAGGCAACCAUGGGAGGAGCAGACCAAGCCCAUGCUGCCACGUCAAUCCGGGGAGGAGCUUUGCCAGAUCAGAGCGAACGGUCCGGGCUGUGUGCGGGAGAGGGGGUGUCACCGGAGCGCCGCUGCCACAGAUCCGACGGGCAGGGGCCGAGCGCCAUCACUGAAGGAUAGGGAGGCGGCACGGGACGAGGGUGCAGUGGUAGAAGGGUGCGAGUCAGAUCAAGGAUUGGAUGGGGGGCUCUGCCGCCUGGGAGGGGGACCCUCCUCCCGCUACCAACACCGGGCGCGACACGGCUUUGCCGGUCGGCCAACGACGGUGCUACGGGAAGCGGUGGUGGAGAAGGGACCUCGGGCGGCGGCGUGGCCACCGACGCCACGUAUAGCUCCGAGGGCAUCCGACGCGUACACACGCGUCGGACAGCUGCACAGACGCUUCUAUCCGCAAGCACACGUGCCGUCCCGCGAAGCACCGUGCCCCGCGAGUGAAGAGGGCGGCGACAACGACCCCGGCGGUCCGGACGAGCCGGCGGAUGCCGUCGCUCGGGGCGCUGUGGCGCCGCCUGGUCCGGGUGCUCUCCUUCGGCCGCGCUGGCCGCGGGAGGACCGCCGUGCGGCUGUGAUCAGCUGGAGCACGCUAGGUGCUGACCGGCGCAUGACGAUGACGACGAGUCCGCCGUAUAUGCACUGGUGCACCGGUAGUUGUGUCAAGAGUGUUGCAGUGGCUAAGAAUUUUUCGUGCCUAGCUGCGAGACUAAAAUACGCGACGACGAGUACGCCCUACACAGCCGGCGACGGACGCGACGACGAGUACUUCGUACUCGUCAUCAGCCCAUCACAGGUCUAUGCUCUUUUGGAUUUCGUGAGGCUUUUACAUGCUACCACCAUUCAAUGCUACCACCAUUCAGGCUUGGUGACGCUUUAA
Molecule: ribosomal RNA, 2814 nt
Filed under: Triticum aestivum (bread wheat)
Lineage: Eukaryota; Viridiplantae; Streptophyta; Magnoliopsida; Poales; Poaceae
Description: partial small subunit ribosomal RNA
Source: RNAcentral